AGGUAAUUUCUCUCUCUCUCUUUUUUUUUUUUUUUUUUUUUUUUUUUUUUUUUUUACCCAACUGACACAGUUGAAAACAGCAAGCUUUUAGACUCAAAAAGCUUAGACCAUCAUGGCUACAAACACUACUGCUACUCAGAAAAUAUGUAAUUCUGGAGAUCCUUAGUAAAAAAGUAGUGCAAGGCAACAUAGCAGUUGCCAAGUGAUCUUCUCCACAGCACCCAUGAACUUCAGCCUUGAACUGAAGAGGACUCAUCAAAUGCCUUAGGAGAGACAGCAUGGAAUUGGAAGAGAAGUAGGGGUCUCCAUGGAGGGCAGUCAACUACAGUCUUGGUGUGUGGAGGAACACGUCCUGUUCUUGCUGUUGUUACUCCCACAUAGGCGGACUCUGUAAUUGAUUAUGUGUGGGUAGGGCCCUAUUGAAAUUAAGGAGAUUCUGCAGUAGUACAGGGUUCUUUUUGUGAAAGUUCAGUUGCA
Molecule: long non-coding RNA, 477 nt
Filed under: Athene cunicularia (burrowing owl)
Lineage: Eukaryota; Metazoa; Chordata; Aves; Strigiformes; Strigidae
Description: lncRNA (ENSACUG00000006018.1)
Source: RNAcentral